UUACCGCAAAAUAAGUAUGUCAUGAUAUUAUCACACUGGUGUUUUGAUGUUGAAUGGAGCAGGUAGCACAUUCACCAGGACUCUCAGAUUUAUGUUUAUCACCUGCCUUAGCAAGUUGCAUGAGCGCUAAACUAAAGUAACUAUUUUUAUGAUCGGAGCAAGCAUGGGGCGGCCAGACAUAAAAAUAUUAGUUUACCCGGCAACCUCUGACUAAGAUCAGAACUGGCAAUUUUGUGUCCGUGAGAUGUACGCAAACGGCCGGCGUAUAUCCUGUGCGAUAUCGGGUCCCUAAUGAACGAAUAAUUAAGACUAUGGGAAUUUAUAAAUAAUCAAACAUCUAAAUUAUGAUCAACAGAUAAUUGGAAUAAUGCACAAAAUUCUUAGUAUAUUAAAUUGGAGUCAGAUUAUAAUUUAAUAAACACAGAGAUCAAAGAAAUUAAUUUAAUCAUGAUAUGGAAUUAUUCUUCUAGAAGCGCUAAGGAAGGAACGAACACGAGACCCCUUCACCCACUCCACUUUCAUCCGUCGUUGGGCUAGUGGGUGGCACCUUACAAUGUGUUUGUUAUAGAGUCAGAGUUAGUGAAGCGUUCAGAGGUUUUUGUACAGCUGCUCGAUUUGUUUCUAUCACUGUGGUGGACGUUCGGCACCGGCACGAGACUCGACGUCGGCAGUGUUAGUCGUCCUAAAGUGAUCGUCCUGCCGCCGUCCAGUGAAGAGAUUUCCAGCAAGAAGACAGCAACAGUGAUGUGUGUGGCCAGCAAUGGUUUCCCUUCAGACUGGAGUCUGAGCUGGAAAGUGAAUGGGAAGAUGUCAGGAUCUCAGGAGAACAGAGCUGGAGUCCUACAGAAAGACGGCGGUCUGUACAGCUGGAGCAGCAGUCUGACUCUCACUGAACAAGAAUGGAUCAACAGAGACUCAGUGAUCUGUGAGAUCAGUCGGGAAGGUCAGACAGUCACUGGAGAAGUGAAGAAAGAUCUGUGUUCUGAGUAGAUCCUCUCUUCUUCUCAUCUCUUCUUCUCAUUCAUGUCUCACAUCAACAGUAAACAACUAUUCAUACAACACUCUGUGUCUCUGCUUUAUUCAUUCUGUCUGCUUUAAUAAAGAAAUAUUAAAUAUUG
Paramisgurnus dabryanus is the source of this 1118-nucleotide non-coding RNA. The record is from RefSeq and is a predicted model, not a curated record. NCBI's taxonomy places the organism in Eukaryota, Metazoa, Chordata, Actinopteri, Cypriniformes, Cobitidae.